GCGAAGGUGGCGAAAUUGGUAGACGCACCAGGUUUAGGUCCUGGCGCCGCAAGGCGUGUGGGUUCGAGUCCCUUCCUUCGCACCA
RNAcentral lists this transfer RNA (85 nucleotides) under Candidatus Kinetoplastidibacterium galati TCC219. RNAcentral describes it as "tRNA-Leu (TAG) (tRNA-Leu-TAG-1-1)". It matches the Rfam family "tRNA". From Rfam's summary of the family: Transfer RNA (tRNA) molecules are approximately 80 nucleotides in length. Their secondary structure includes four short double-helical elements and three loops (D, anti-codon, and T loops). Lineage: Bacteria; Pseudomonadati; Pseudomonadota; Betaproteobacteria. The record is from RNAcentral.